RNAcentral lists this unclassified non-coding RNA (309 nucleotides) under Hevea brasiliensis (rubber tree). Lineage: Eukaryota; Viridiplantae; Streptophyta; Magnoliopsida; Malpighiales; Euphorbiaceae. The record is from RNAcentral.
GAAUCCUUCCUUCUUUCCUCUCUUUUCACGCGUUCUUCGUUCUUUCGCCUUCUGAUUUUCAGCUUUCCGGUUUCGUUUGAGCUUUCAUCCAAAUAAGGUUCAUGGUUGAAUUAGACUACCAGAUCCCAUCCGCAUUUGAUCCAUUCGCCGAAGCCAAGGAUUCGGAUGCCCCCGGAACCAAAGAGUAUGUUCAUAUUCGCGUCCAACAAAGGAAUGGGAAGAAGUGCUUGACUACAGUCCAAGGUCUGAAGAAAGAGUUUAGCUACGAGAAGAUUCUCAAAGACGUGAAGAAGGAAUUCUGCUGUAAUG